This 695-nucleotide long non-coding RNA is filed under the name Mus musculus (house mouse). RNAcentral's name for it is "long non-coding RNA chr1:146620116-146620811". Lineage: Eukaryota; Metazoa; Chordata; Mammalia; Rodentia; Muridae. The record is from RNAcentral.
AUAUGAGGGGGACAGUUCAUGCUCAUCAAAGGUAAAAUCUACCAAGAGGAACUCUCAAUUCUGAAGAGCUUUGUUCCAAAUGCAAGGGCAUCCACAUUCAUAAAAGAAACUUUACUAAAGCUCAAAGCACAUAUUGCAUGUCACACAAAAAUAGUGGGAGAGUCCAACACCCCACUCUCAUCAACGCACAGAUCAUGAAAACGGAAACUAAACACAGACACAUUGAAACUAAUAGAUGAAAUAGGAAACAAAUGGGUUUAACAGAUAUCUAUAGAGUGUUUUAUCCUAAAACAAAAGGAUAUACCUUCUCAGCACCUCAUGUUAUUGUCUCCAAAACUGAUUAUCUAAUUGAUCACAAAACAGGCCUCAACAGAUAAAAGAGGACUGAAAUAACCCCAUGCUAUCAGAUCAUCAAGGACAAAGGCUGGUCUUACAUAACAACAUAAACAAUAGAAAGCCCACCUAUACAUGGAAGCUGAACAACACUGUACUCCAGGAUAACUUGGUCAAAAUAAAAGUAAAGAAAGAAAUUAAAAGCUUUUUAGAGUUUAUUGGAAACGAAGCCACAACAAACUCAAACUUAUGGGACACAAUGAAAGCAGUCCUAAGAGGAAAACUCAUAGCUCUGAGUGUCUGCAAAAAGAAACUGGAGAGAGCACACACUAGCAGCUUGAUAGUAUAUCUGAAAGCUGUGG